RNAcentral lists this ribosomal RNA (391 nucleotides) under Pseudophasma sp. 'Neophasma' Red JAR-2018. RNAcentral describes it as "Neophasma sp. Red partial 12S ribosomal RNA". The record is from RNAcentral. Lineage: Eukaryota; Metazoa; Arthropoda; Insecta; Phasmatodea; Pseudophasmatidae.
AAAGUAGGAUUAGAUACCCUUUUAUUCUCAAUGUUAAUUGUUGCCAGGGAUAGUAGUAGUUAUGUUCUUUAAACCCAAAGAAUUUGGCGGUGUUUUAGUCCAUUUAGAGGAAUUUGCCCCGUAAUCGAUAAUCCCCGUUUUAUCUUUCUAGGUUUUGUUUAUCAGUAAGUAUACCGCCGUUAUAAGUUUAUUUUUUUAGAGAUUUAAUUUACUUUAAAAAUUAUUGUUUUUUAUUUCAGGCCAAGGUGCAGCUAAUAGCUUAGAAGGAGGUGAAUUACAAUAUUAUUAUAAUACAUGGAUUUUUUAUUGUAAUAUUUAAUUGAAGGUGGAUUUAAUAGUAAUUUUGAUUAUUAUGUCAUUUUGAUUUUGGCUCUAAAAUAAGUACACAUCG